CUUUUCUGGGGUGGGAAGGUGUCACUUCCUGUCACUUGUCAUGACUUUUAUUUUGUCUCAUUGUUAGCAAGUGUUAAUCAGUACUGACUAUGCUGAAUGUCACCAUGAUGUCAAUGUUUGCCAUAUUUGUUGUCAUGUUACCAGGUCUUGUACAAAGUCAGAAAGUUGACCAGACUCCACGGGACCUGAUAAGGAACCUCACAGAAUCAGCUGUUGUCACUUGCUCACAUUCAGACCAGAGCUUUGAUCGCAUCCUCUGGUAUAAACAAUCUGAUGACAAGGGAUUCAUUUUUCUUGGUUAUCUCAAUAUUGAUUUUGCAUAUCCUGAAGAUGAGUUCAAACAUAAAAUCAGCUUGGCUGGAGAUGGCAGAAGUAGCGCCACACUUACAAUAACAGAUCUGACAGAAGACAACAGCGGAGUCUAUUACUGUGCAGCUUGGAGACACAGUGUGUUAGAACCCCACAACCCAGAGCAAAAACACUUCCUUAUCACGUCUCGAUAUCUGUAGUGUGCACUAAAACAGGUGAAACCGUUUUUUCCCCCAUGGUUUUUCUCUGUUGAAACAGCAUCAAGAAAGCUCGUUUCAACCUACAGACUAAAAUACAACCUUUGGCAAUGGUAUAAAAUUAGCCAAAUUCAACAUUAAAACCACAGACUUGGCAACACUGCAAGAUUCUUUGGUGCCAGAUGUAGUGACAACAUCUACCAGCAGGCGCUAGUGAGCUAGUCAUGCUAACUAGUAAAAUUUAACCGACCAGUUUAAACUGGCUCACAGAAAAGUUACACUUCUACAUAUCAAAGUGAUGAUCUGUUUUACAUUGUUGUUGCAUCAGUAACAUUUUCAC
Molecule: non-coding RNA, 846 nt
Organism: Onychostoma macrolepis
Lineage: Eukaryota; Metazoa; Chordata; Actinopteri; Cypriniformes; Cyprinidae
Source: the annotation of a RefSeq genome assembly